Molecule: ribosomal RNA, 372 nt
Filed under: uncultured bacterium
Lineage: Bacteria
Description: bacterial SSU rRNA
Rfam family: Bacterial small subunit ribosomal RNA
Source: RNAcentral
GAACCGUGCAAACGUUGUUCGGAAUCACUGGGCUUAAAGGGCGCGUAGGCGGGGGACCAAGUCCGGGGUGAAAUCUUUCGGCUCAACCGGAAAACUGCCUUGGAUACUGGUCUUCUUGAGGGAGGUAGGGGCAGGUGGAACUUCCGGUGGAGCGGUGAAAUGCGUUGAUAUCGGAAGGAACGCCGGUGGCGAAAGCGACCUGCUGGAUCUCUUCUGACGCUGAGGCGCGAAAGCUAGGGUAGCGAACGGGAUUAGAUACCCCGGUAGUCCUAGCCCUAAACGAUGGGUACUAGGUUGCGGACUUGACAUGGGUUCGCAGCCGAAGCAAAAGUGUUAAGUACCCCGCCUGGGGAGUAUGGUCGCAAGGCUGAA